This 253-nucleotide ribosomal RNA is filed under the name uncultured bacterium. RNAcentral's name for it is "partial 16S ribosomal RNA". It matches the Rfam family "Bacterial small subunit ribosomal RNA", at positions 524 to 776 of the family's 1533-position model. The record is from RNAcentral.
UACGGAGGGUGCGAGCGUUGUCCGGCAUCAUUGGGCGUAAAGGGCGCGUAGGUGGCUUCUUAAGCGUGCGGUGAAAGCCUGGGGCUCAACCCCGGGUCGGCCGUGCGAACUGGGGGGCUGGAGCACUGUAGAGGCAGGCGGAAUUCCGGGUGUAGCGGUGGAAUGCGUAGAGAUCCGGAAGAACACCGGUGGCGAAGGCGGCCUGCUGGGCAGUUGCUGACACUGAGGCGCGACAGCGUGGGGAGCAAACAGG